UACGGGGGGGCAAGCGUUGUUCGGAAUUACUGGGCGUAAAGGGCUCGUAGGUGGCCAACUAAGUCAGACGUGAAAUCCCUCGGCUUAACCGGGGAACUGCGUCUGAUACUGGAUGGCUUGAGUUUGGGAGAGGGAUGCGGAAUUCCAGGUGUAGCGGUGAAAUGCGUAGAUAUCUGGAGGAACACCGGUGGCGAAGGCGGCAUCCUGGACCAAUAUUGACGCUGAGGAGCGAAAGCCAGGGGAGCAAACGGG
RNAcentral lists this ribosomal RNA (252 nucleotides) under uncultured bacterium. RNAcentral's name for it is "partial 16S ribosomal RNA". It matches the Rfam family "Bacterial small subunit ribosomal RNA", at positions 524 to 776 of the family's 1533-position model. The record is from RNAcentral.